Molecule: ribosomal RNA, 458 nt
Filed under: uncultured bacterium
Lineage: Bacteria
Description: partial 16S ribosomal RNA
Rfam family: Bacterial small subunit ribosomal RNA
Source: RNAcentral
CCUACGGGCGGCAGCAGUGAGGAAUAUUGGUCAAUGGGCGAGAGCCUGAACCAGCCAAGUCGCGUGAGGGAGUACUGCCCUAUGGGUUGUAAACCUCUUUUGUCGGGGAGCAAAAGCCGGACGUGUCCGGCUGUGAGAGUACCCGAAGAAAAAGCAUCGGCUAACUCCGUGCCAGCAGCCGCGGUAAUACGGAGGAUGCAAGCGUUAUCCGGAUUUAUUGGGUGUAAAGGGUGCGCAGUCGGAUUUUUAAGUCAGCGGUAAAAUCGUGGGGCUCAACCCCGUCCAGCCGGUGAAACUGGGGAUCUAGAGGGAGUGAGAGGUAAGCGGAAUGCGUGGUGGAGCGGUGAAAUGCAUAGAUAUCACGCAGAACCCCGAUUGCGAAGGCAGCAUACCGGUGCACAACUGACGCUGAGGCACGAAAGCGCGGGUAUCGAACAGGAUUAGAUACCCCAGUAGUC